GACGAACGCUGGCGGCGUGCCUAAUACAUGCAAGUCGAACGCUGAAGAGAGGAGCUUGCUCUUCUUGGCUGAGUUGCGAACGGGUGAGUAACGCGUAGGUAACCUGCCUUGUAGCGGGGGAUAACUAUUGGAAACGAUAGCUAAUACCGCAUAACAAUGGAUGACACAUGUCAUUUAUUUGAAAGGGGCAAUUGCUCCACUACAAGAUGGACCUGCGUUGUAUUAGCUAGUAGGUGAGGUAAUGGCUCACCUAGGCGACGAUACAUAGCCGACCUGAGAGGGUGAUCGGCCACACUGGGACUGAGACACGGCCCAGACUCCUACGGGAGGCAGCAGUAGGGAAUCUUCGGCAAUGGGGGCAACCCUGACCGAGCAACGCCGCGUGAGGGAAGAAGGUUUUCGGAUCGUAAAGCUCUGUUGUAAGUCAAGAACGGGUGUGAGAGUGGAAAGUUCACACUGUGACGGUAGCUUACCAGAAAGGGACGGCUAACUACGUG
Molecule: ribosomal RNA, 497 nt
Filed under: uncultured bacterium
Lineage: Bacteria
Description: partial 16S ribosomal RNA
Rfam family: Bacterial small subunit ribosomal RNA
Source: RNAcentral